GCCUAGGCGGCGGCAGCUGCUGCGGCGACUGCAAAGGCCGAUUUGGAGUGCUGGAACGAAGAAGAGCAAAAGCUGCCUUCUGCGCGCGCCCGACUCCGCUGCCCGCCCCGCCAGGCCUCCGGGAGGUGGGGGCUGGGAGGCGUCCCCCGCUCCCGCCCCCUCCCCACCGUGCAAUGAAAGAUGAACUGGCGAGAGGUGAGAAGGGAAGAGGGCUCCCGGCUCUCUCGGGGCGGGAAUCAGUGGGCCAGAGCUCGCCGGGUGGCCGCAAGUACGCCGGCCCAGCCCGCAGCGCGCCCAGCCGGAAGGCGGGGAAUCCGGCUGACACCGCGCCCCGGGUUCCCAGGCCACCUCCUCUGUUCUGAGGCUGGGCUGGGAGACCGUGGGGCUGUGAGGAGCGCAUAGAACCGUGGUGGAGGGCGAGGCUGGGCCACCGGCCCUUCAAGCUCGGAAUGGAGGGGGAAGAGCGCAGAGGGCUGGCUGGGAGGAACUUGGGUGGGCGUGAAGGAGACGAGGGCAAGAAAAGAAACUUCCCUUCUUCCAGGAGGGUCUUCGAAACCCUCUCCCCACAGCCCCUCUCGUCAUUAGCAUGGCAAUGAGGAGUUUCUGUAAUUCGACUUGGAGGGGCGGAUGAGCCCUGGAAACUCAGAGCUCGCCGGAAAAGGCCGGGGGCGGCCGGGCUCUUCUUCCCCACCUUCCCUCUCUCGUCGCUCUCCGCCCCUUUCUCUUUCCCACUCAGUUUUGCACCGGGAGCCCUCCGGGAUGCGGAGCUACUCGACCGCCGGAUUUUUAGGGGUAGGAGGCGGGGGAGAGAGAGAUGACGCUGGCGGACGUGGCCAGCGUGGGGGCCGGGCCGUGCGCUGCAGGCCAUCUGCCGGCGCCCCGAGACCCAGGAGCCUCCGCGCUCCCGCGUGGGCCUCACAGGGCCGGUCCACAGCUCCAACAUAGUAGCUGAACUCCCUUCGUUGCGUUCCUCUUUUUCUGGAGGGGAAUGUUAGAAGAGAGAGAGAGCUUCCUUUUAUAACCUUCCUCAUUCUGCUGCACGUCUAGAGUGGGUGUGGGGGCUGGCAGGUGGGAGGGGCGGUGGACAAAUGGCUGAUGGUGGACGGGACACUUUACCCCAACGACACCUCCUCCCCUUUCCAACUGGCUGUGUAGUUGCUUAUGAGAACCUUCAAGUCCUUCCCUAGAGAGACACAUGCAAAUCUGAGCGUCAUCCCAGGCCAGGGGUCCUGUUCCUCAUCACCCUACUUCCCUGAGGCUGCUGAGGUCGUUAAAUUGUUGUUUACUAUUAGGUUUCACGUCAACCCUGGGCUUGUAGAGAGAAAAAGCCAAACGGAGACCAAGAAUUGAUGCAGUCUUGGGUAGGAGAAAUCGAGAGCUUGUCCAGGAAGCUUUGCUGUAUAAAUUAUAAGCAAUGCUGUAUAAAUUUUACUCCAACCAUGUGUACAAUGUUGGAAUCAGAUGAAAUUUAUAGUGAAUGAAUGUAUGUGGGUUUGGGGUUUCCACUCCCCUUCAGCCUUUCCUCCCCUGUUAGAACAAGGAAGGUUUUUUUUUUUUUUCAAGAAAGGUACAUUUCAAAUAUGUUAGUCACCCUUUCAGUCUUCUGUAUUCUGUUCUCCACGUACCGAAGUUCCCCCAAACCUGUCCUCUCAAGAGAGAAAACCCAUGCUGACUCUGGACUCCCUCAGUAACAAUGAAACAUUCUCCCCAAACAUUUCCUUUCAGAAUAGUAUUUGUGACUUUGAUCCAUCCCAAGCAUGGUUAAGAGGGAGCACGAGCAGGAAAGGCCCACUUUCUGGGGUUGGGCAGCCACCCCUGCCCCAGUUUCGGCUCCUGGGAAUCCUCCGACUGGAGAAGGGGAAAGGCAAGGCAGUCCUCCUGGAGGCGGCUUCCUUGGGAGCACCAGCUUCCAGCGGCGGGGAGAGAAGGCGCUCCUGUGGGAGAGGGGGCAGGAUGUGAGUAGGUCGGUGCUGGCUAUGCGAGCAAUCCUCCCUCCAAGCCUGAGCAAGUCGGUACAUUUUCCCCCGCUGCCUCAUUCCUGUACCUUGGUUGCCCUCCUCAGCCUGGGUUUGCAGGACCCCCUCGGCUGCAGGGCGCCUGCCACAAAGCCGACCCCGGCAGGAGCCACUCUCUCUGCUAGUUCGCUGCCUCGGCGCUGCUCUCCCUCAGCCUCUCUUCUUCUCUCCUGGCCUCUUUUCUGGGGCAUCCUGGGUGGAGUGUUUUUCUUGGGAUCACGAGCUUGCACUCGCACACAGGCCCGCAGACACACAGGCCCGGCGGCCGCCCUUCUCCGCUUGCUGUUCCCGGCUCCCCGCAGGCCGGGUGCUCGCAGCCGGGCUGGCUAUGCCUCGCCUGGCAGCCCAGAGCGCCGCUUCCCGGGAACGGCACACAAAGGCAGCCUCCCCUGGCCUCUAGCCCUUAGGCUUCUGUAGCUCAGUUCUUUCCCCACACCCCUCCCCCAAGAAAUUCUGGGGGCCGUUCCACCGAGUAGGAGAUCCUUGGCCCUCUAGGCAAGUAGGUCAGCGCCCCAAGACUGGAGCUGGUCUCUUUCAACGCCUUGGGAGACUGGGUGAAAGGCGAGCUUGGUUACGCUUAAAAUGAUCGCCUACAAGCGGUUCUCUUGGCUCAAAACGCCUCUUUCAGGGCUCUUAUGCUAGAAAGGAAAGGAAUAAGGAGGAGACAAAAUGACGCCGAGGCCCUGAACUGUUCAUGGCAUCCGCGGCUCAGCCAAGCUGUUGUUUUAAAAGAGCAAUAAAAAUGAAUUAUGACUAAACGCCUUCUAACUUAAUGCUUUCGGACGGGGAUCCCCGGCAAAUAACGUAAGAGGAUUUUUAUUUGUGCAUGUGUUCCUGCAAUUGAUCUCUUUGAUGACAUUCUCAUUCAUAGAAAGCGUUUGAUUUAUGAGCGUAGGACGAAUCGCAUCCUGGAGCUGCGCAGCCCUGGCCGCGGCCGGGACGCCCUGCUCCGCGCUGAGCUUGGGGCCAGAAACCAGCCAUAGUCCCCACACUCCGCCGCCGCAGCUGGGAUUUAGCGGAGGAAGGGGCGAGGGAAGGUAGGGAGCAAACCUAUGAAGAAACAUCGCGUUGUCAUUGGAACUUCCAAGCCUUUGCUGUUAAGAGCCAGGUUCUUAAAUCAACCCGCCCCACACACAUGUUGCUUACAUGCUGCGUUUUCUCACGGUCUGUUUUGCCUGAACCCAUCAACAGCUGGGAGAUUAAUCAACCACACUGAAAAUGUGGAGGGAUUUAUGGGGGAGGGGGUUGAAAUGUGGAUGUUUGAAACAAAAGUGUAUAAACAAAUGAAUUGUUGAUAACUUAGUUAUUGACCUGGAGACUGGUAGCUUAUUAAAGAAACUCCGUGUUACUCAUUCCUGGAGUUGGGGGUUUCUGUAGGCACUUUAUUUCUCCACUUUCAAGAGCUUGGGCUUGGCCCAAAUCUUAGACUGUCCAAUUCUGUCUCUAUUACCAAUUUAAAUCUAUGGCUUGAACCUGUGCACUGAAAAUCAAAUCCUUUAAAAAGAAAGAGGAGAAGAAGAAGCAAAAAAGAAAAAAAAAAAACACUUAUUAGAAGCCCUAGUCAUUUUUUGGCUUUCUGUUUUGUUGCUGUCCAUUGAAGACUUUGAACAUGCCGCCUUAAUAAAUGUAUUAAAAUUGAAAAAAGAAGAUAAAUUGUGACGAAUUUUAUUUAUGAAGUUAGACUAAAAGAAGAAAAAGAAACCGUUAUGAGCCUUGAAAAAAGAGGGGGAGAAAAAUAAGAAAGCUACUUAUAGCAAAGGAGAAUUUAUUCUACAAAAAAUAUGCAUGACA
Molecule: long non-coding RNA, 3806 nt
Filed under: Pan troglodytes (chimpanzee)
Lineage: Eukaryota; Metazoa; Chordata; Mammalia; Primates; Hominidae
Description: long non-coding RNA NONPTRT015526
Rfam family: HOX antisense intergenic RNA myeloid 1 conserved region 2 (bases 2713-2927)
Source: RNAcentral